CCGGAUUAUUGGGCGUAAAGCGAGCGCAGGCGGUUUUUUAAGUCUGAUGUGAAAGCCUUCGGCUCAACCGAAGAAGUGCAUCGGAAACUGGGAAACUUGAGUGCAGAAGAGGACAGUGGAACUCCAUGUGUAGCGGUGAAAUGCGUAGAUAUAUGGAAGAACACCAGUGGCGAAGGCGGCUGUCUGGUCUGUAACUGACGCUGAGGCUCGAAAGUAUGGGUAGCAAACAGGAUUAGAUACCCUGGUAGUCCAUACCGUAAACGAUGAAUGCUAAGUGUUGGAGGGUUUCCGCCCUUCAGUGCUGCAGCUAACGCAUUAAGCAUUCCGCCUGGGGAGUACGGCCGCAAGGCUGAAACUCAAAGGAAUUGACGGGGGCCCGCACAAGCGGUGGAGCAUGUGGUUUAAUUCGAAGCUACGCGAAGAACCUUACCAGGUCUUGACAUACUAUGCAAAUCUAAGAGAUUAGACGUUCCCUUCGGGGACAUGGAUACAGGUGGUGCAUGGUUGUCGUCAGCUCGUGUCGUGAGAUGUUGGGUUAAGUCCCGCAACGAGCGCAACCCUUAUUAUCAGUUGCCAGCAUUAAGUUGGGCACUCUGGUGAGACUGCCGGUGACAAACCGGAGGAAGGUGGGGAUGACGUCAAAUCAUCAUGCCCCUUAUGACCUGGGCUACACACGUGCUACAAUGGAUGGUACAACGAGUUGCGAACUCGCGAGAGUAAGCUAAUCUCUUAAAGCCAUUCUCAGUUCGGAUUGUAGGCUGCAACUCGCCUACAUGAAGUCGGAAUCGCUAGUAAUCGCGGAUCAGCAUGCCGCGGUGAAUACGUUCCCGGGCCUUGUACACACCGCCCGUCACACCAUGAGAGUUUGUAACACCCAAAGUCGGUGGGGUAACCUUU
Molecule: ribosomal RNA, 897 nt
Filed under: Lactiplantibacillus plantarum
Lineage: Bacteria; Bacillati; Bacillota; Bacilli; Lactobacillales; Lactobacillaceae
Description: bacterial SSU rRNA
Rfam family: Bacterial small subunit ribosomal RNA
Source: RNAcentral